CCAAAGCAUCCGUAAUGCACUGACUCAGAUCCUCUGUCUUCCUGCUCUUCAUGUUCAGUGUGCUCAUGUUCUUACUCAUGGCCCUCAAACUCUUUGGGAUAAGGGCCUUAAAACAAUAGAGGGACGCCCCUAUUUCACCAACUAUCUGGAGAUUGUCUAUGAUCUCUGUCCUAGUCACGACUGCCAACAGCCUGGAUGUCAUUGGCCAGUUAAUAAGGUACACCCAUCUAGUACCGGGUCGGAUCCCUCUGCCUGCAGAACAGCCUGAAUUAUUUGGGGCAUGGAAACGUUGCUCAAGUGACCUAACGUGUACCAGGAGCUUGCAUGAUUCUUGCCAUUCUCCUUCGACCUCUUAUCAACAAGCUGUUUUGGAUGCACCGUUCUCUGUAAACCCUAGACAAGAUUUUACGUGAAAAGUCCAGGAGGAUGGACGUUUCUGAGAUACUGGAACUGUAGCGCCUGGGACUGACGAUCAUACCACGUUCAAAGUCGCUAAUGUCACUCGUUUUGCUAUUCUAAUGUUAAAUUGAACAGUAACUGAAUGCCUCUGCCUGUCUGCCUGCUUUAUAUAGUAAGCCACGGACACAUGACUCACUGUCUGUAGCAGCGAACCAUUUUCGUGAACAGAUAGCGUACCUAAUAAACCUACAACUAUUUUGCUGAGAGUAGAUUAUACUGGCAAUGAUGGUAAUACGUGGGGGGUUUUGCCUACUGAAGUUGAAUAAACUGGCUGUAGUUGCUCUGGAUAAGAGCGUCUCCUAAAUGACUAAACUGUACAAAUGUAAUUGUUUAAUCUUUAAUAUACAGACAAUUACAGUACCAGUCAAAGGUUUGGACACACCUACUCAUUCAAGGGUUUUUCUUUUAUUUUCACUAUUUUAUACAGUGAAUAGAUCAAAACUAUGAAAUAACACAUGUGGAAUCAUGUAGUAAUCAAACAAAGUGUUAAACAAAUCAAAAUAUAUUUUAGAUUCUUCAAAGUGGUCACCCUUUGCCUUGAUGACAGCUUUGCACAGUCUUGGCAUUCUCUCAACCAUCUUCAUGAGGAAUGCUUUUCCAACAGUCUUGAAGGAGUUCCCACAUAUGCUAAGCACUUGUUGGCUGCUUUUCCUUCACUCUGCGGUCCAACUCAUCCCAAACCAUCUCAAUUGGGUUGAGGUCGG
This 1163-nucleotide long non-coding RNA is filed under the name Salmo salar (Atlantic salmon). Its description in RNAcentral is "lncRNA (ENSSSAG00000118479.1)". The record is from RNAcentral. Lineage: Eukaryota; Metazoa; Chordata; Actinopteri; Salmoniformes; Salmonidae.